Molecule: ribosomal RNA, 500 nt
Filed under: uncultured bacterium
Lineage: Bacteria
Description: partial 16S ribosomal RNA
Rfam family: Bacterial small subunit ribosomal RNA
Source: RNAcentral
AUUGAACGCUGGCGGAAUGCUUUACACAUGCAAGUCGAACGGCAGCACGGACUUCGGUCUGGUGGCGAGUGGCGAACGGGUGAGUAAUGUAUCGGAACGUGCCCAGUCGUGGGGGAUAACGUAGUGAGAAUUACGCUAAUACCGCAUACGAUCUAUGGAUGAAAGCGGGGGAUCGCAAGACCUCGCGCGAUUGGAGCGGCCGAUAUCAGAUUAGGUAGUUGGUGGGGUAAAGGCCCACCAAGCCAACGAUCUGUAGCUGGUCUGAGAGGACGACCAGCCACACUGGAACUGAGACACGGUCCAGACUCCUACGGGAGGCAGCAGUGGGAAAUUUUGGACAAUGGGCGAAAGCCUAAUCCAGCCAUUCCGCGUGCAGGAUGAAGGCCCUCGGGUUGUAAACUGCUUUUGUACAGAACGAAAAGGUUUCUACUAAUACUAGGAGCUCAUGACGGUACUGUAAGAAUAAGCACCGGCUAACUACGUGCCAGCCGCCGCUGUAA